RNAcentral lists this ribosomal RNA (253 nucleotides) under Anaerobutyricum hallii. RNAcentral's name for it is "partial 16S ribosomal RNA". It matches the Rfam family "Bacterial small subunit ribosomal RNA", at positions 524 to 776 of the family's 1533-position model. Lineage: Bacteria; Bacillati; Bacillota; Clostridia; Lachnospirales; Lachnospiraceae. The record is from RNAcentral.
UACGUAUGGAGCAAGCGUUAUCCGGAUUUACUGGGUGUAAAGGGUGCGUAGGUGGCAGUGUAAGUCAGAUGUGAAAGGCCGGGGCUCAACCCCGGAGCUGCAUUUGAAACUGCUCGGCUAGAGUACAGGAGAGGCAGGCGGAAUUCCUAGUGUAGCGGUGAAAUGCGUAGAUAUUAGGAGGAACACCAGUGGCGAAGGCGGCCUGCUGGACUGUUACUGACACUGAGGCACGAAAGCGUGGGGAGCAAACAGG